CAGUAGCCGCGGUAAUACGUAGGUGGCAAGCGUUGUCCGGAAUUAUUGGGCGUAAAGGGCUCGCAGGCGGUUUCUUAAGUCUGAUGUGAAAGCCCCCGGCUCAACCGGGGAGGGUCAUUGGAAACUGGGAAACUUGUGUGCAGAAGAGGAGAGUGGAAUUCCACGUGUAGCGGUGAAAUGCGUAGAGAUGUGGAGGAACACCGGUGGCGAAGGCGACUCUCUGGUCUGUAACUGACGCUGAGGAGCGAAAGCGUGGGGAGCGAACAGGAUUAGAUACCCCCGUAGUCCCUGUCUCUUAUAC
RNAcentral lists this ribosomal RNA (301 nucleotides) under uncultured bacterium. Its description in RNAcentral is "partial 16S ribosomal RNA". It matches the Rfam family "Bacterial small subunit ribosomal RNA", at positions 509 to 807 of the family's 1533-position model. The record is from RNAcentral.